AUUUAAGUAGUUUAAAGAGAACAUUAGCUUGUGGCGCUAAAAGUAGGAUUGUUCCUCUUAGAUA
Molecule: transfer RNA, 64 nt
Filed under: Rhynchocinetes durbanensis
Lineage: Eukaryota; Metazoa; Arthropoda; Malacostraca; Decapoda; Rhynchocinetidae
Description: tRNA-His
Rfam family: tRNA
About the family: Transfer RNA (tRNA) molecules are approximately 80 nucleotides in length. Their secondary structure includes four short double-helical elements and three loops (D, anti-codon, and T loops).
Source: RNAcentral